Long non-coding RNA from Paralichthys olivaceus (Japanese flounder), 475 nucleotides. RefSeq lists it as uncharacterized. NCBI's taxonomy places the organism in Eukaryota, Metazoa, Chordata, Actinopteri, Pleuronectiformes, Paralichthyidae. The record is from RefSeq and is a predicted model, not a curated record.
AGGUCCAGGAGGAGGCAGGAGGUGGCAGGAGGUCUGUCUGCGUCUCACGAAGACAAGAACGUGUCGUCUUGUUUCUGCUGCUCCACCUCUCGCUGGAAAUUAGGAAAGACCCGAGUGGCUUUUCUGGACUCAACCAAAUGGCGUCAACCGACGAGCUGCUGGACCAACAACGAACCAAGAACAGCUCACAAGAGGUUGUGUCCCGCUGCCUGUAGGCUCCUGUUCUGUUGGCUUCAGUGAAGCUCACAAGAAGUCAUGUCCUGCUGUGUGUGAACAUGAAACCACAUCACGCUGCCUGUAGGCUCCAGUCCAGCUCACGUGUCCAGCUGUGUGUGAACAUGAAACUGCAUCACGUGUCUACAGGCUCCUGUUCAGCUUCAGAGACGAGAUCUACAGUAAUGCAGUCCAGAAACAGGAGGAUCACUCGAAGACGUCGCCUUCUUGUGACGUAAUAAGCCGAGACUCCCCAUGAUGC